UAGUGGCAGACGGGUGAGUAAUAUAUAGGAAUCUACCUAGUAGUACGGAAUAAUUGUUGGAAACGGCAACUAAUACCGUAUACGCCCUACGGGGGAAAAAUUUAUUGCUAUUAGAUGAGCCUAUAUUAGAUUAGCUAGUUGGUGGAGUAAUAGCCUACCAAGGCAAUGAUCUAUAGUUGAUCUGAGAGGAUGAUCAGCCACACUGGAACUGAGAUACGGUCCAGACUCCUACGGGAGGCAGCAGUGGGGAAUAUUGGACAAUGGGCGAAAGCCUGAUCCAGCCAUGCCGCAUGAGUGAAGAAGGCCUUUGGGUUGUAAAGCUCUUUUAGUGAGGAAGAUAAUGACGGUACUCACAGAAGAAGUCCUGGCUAACUCCGUGCCAGCAGCCGCGGUAAUACGGAGAGGGCUAGCGUUAUUCGGAAUUAUUGGGCGUAAAGGGCGCGUAGGCUGGUUAGUAAGUUAAAAGUGAAAUCCCGAGGCUUAACCUUAGAACUGCUUUUAAAACUGCUAACCUAGAGAUUGAAAGAGGAUAGAGGAAUUCCUAGUGUAGAGGUGAAAUUCGUAAAUAUUAGGAGGAACACCAGUGGCGAAGGCGUCUAUCUGGUUCAAAUCUGACGCUGAGGCGCGAAGGCGUGGGGAGCAAACAGGAUUAGAUACCCUGGUAGUCCACGCUGUAAACGAUGAAUGUUAAAUAUGGGAAGUUUACUUUCUGUAUUACAGCUAACGCGUUAAACAUUCCGCCUGGGGACUACGGUCGCAAGAUUAAAACUCAAAGGAAUUGACGGGGACCCGCACAAGCGGUGGAGCAUGUGGUUUAAUUCGAUGCAACGCGAAAAACCUUACCACUCCUUG
Molecule: ribosomal RNA, 852 nt
Filed under: Wolbachia endosymbiont of Lema diversa
Lineage: Bacteria; Pseudomonadati; Pseudomonadota; Alphaproteobacteria; Rickettsiales; Anaplasmataceae
Description: bacterial SSU rRNA
Rfam family: Bacterial small subunit ribosomal RNA
Source: RNAcentral